AUAUCUCUUCAUUCUAUUCUCUUUUUAUUGGUUCAAACAAAUGACACAAGUCAACCAAAACAAAACACUCUUGUUAAAGAUGGUACAGAAUUGUUAUUCGUAAACUUUAUUUCAGUGUUACAUCUCUACACUCAAACACACACACACUCUCACACAUUUCUCACACAAUGUAUGGAGAUAGGAAUAGUGUAAAUAGUAGAAUAUUUUUAGAAAAUAGAACAAACUUCACUGGACGGAGUUAGGCAUGCACUCGUCUGCUAAGCCUAUACAUAAUACUGUUGUAAGAUUUCUUUCCAUACACAAGAAUUGUGUUCAUUUGUACAAGAAGAAAAACUUCAGUAGGCUAAAUAUAGUAUUUCUGUACAUCAUGUUAUUACCAGUCUAUUUGUCAUUGAAGCUGUGCUCCAAUAUUCUUUCUUUACAAAAUAGAAUCAACUGACCAAGUUGUUACAACUUUCAUAAUAGUAUUCACAAAUUGGUUCAUUGGUACAAAACUAAAAUAUUUUUAGUCUUCUAUAUUGAUUAUAAAUGAGUUGGCUUUAUGUUUUUGUUUCAGAAAAAAUACACAUUAAUAAAUAAGAAUCGGCAUUAGCACACUUUUAUGAACCACCAUUUAUAGAAAAAAAGAGUUGAUCUUAACAGCCAUGAUGAUAUAUCUCUUAUAAUAGUCAUGAUGAUAUAUCUCUUAUAAUAGUCAUGAUGAUAUAUCUCUUAUAAU
Molecule: non-coding RNA, 718 nt
Organism: Biomphalaria pfeifferi
Lineage: Eukaryota; Metazoa; Mollusca; Gastropoda; Planorbidae
Source: the annotation of a GenBank genome assembly